Acinonyx jubatus (cheetah) is the source of this 714-nucleotide long non-coding RNA. RefSeq lists it as uncharacterized. NCBI's taxonomy places the organism in Eukaryota, Metazoa, Chordata, Mammalia, Carnivora, Felidae. The record is from RefSeq and is a predicted model, not a curated record. The transcript has 3 exons.
ACGGCUCAGCCACCCAGGCACUAAUUAAGAUUUGACAAAAGAGGUGUCUGUAGAGCAAACGGGCAGAUUUUACGAGGGCAGGGGGAAGAGCUUAGAUGACAGGUGUUUAAAACUAAAGCCAUUUUUCCUGGGAUGGGCACCCAUCCUGGCAUUCAGCCCUGGCACACUGAUGAGGAGGUACAGGGCUUGAAUCAAUAGCUGUGGGCUUCUGUUCGGAAACCCUAGGGCAAGCCCAGAGAUCCCCUAGGAGGCAUAAUGGCCUCAUUAUUAUGUUAACCAGAAGGCUGAGGUUUCUGAAAAGGGCACCUCCCUUUCCUGGGUUUGUUUCACCCAAUUCCCUGCACUCAGCUGAGCGCCCUCGGGCACUGUCUCUGGAGGGCAGGCGACCCACUGGAUCUUAAACCAGCUUGUGGCCUCUGGACAAAAUGUCCUCGAAUUAAAGGAAGGAAUGUAACUCCAAAGAAAGAAAAGUCAGCUCCAGGUUUAUUCCCUGCAGCUCAGCUGGCUGUUUAUGUCUCUACAAAGCAUUCACCCCAGAAAGGAAUGUGUACAGCUGGAGGCAUCACAGAAAACAACACACCCCAAUGUCAGGGCUCCUGCACCCCGCCCUCAGGGCAGCCAGGCCAAGAACAGGAGUUGAUUCUUGACGGGAAAGCUCCAAAUGAGACCGGACCUUGAAGGUUCUGCCCUGGAGCGCUGGAGGCUGGGGCGGGG